GAUGAACGCUGGCGGCGUGCUUAACACAUGCAAGUCGAACGGUGAACACGGAGCUUGCUCUGUGGGAUCAGUGGCGAACGGGUGAGUAACACGUGAGCAACCUGCCCCUGACUCUGGGAUAAGCGCUGGAAACGGCGUCUAAUACUGGAUAUGUGACGUGAUCGCAUGGUCUGCGUCUGGAAAGAAUUUCGGUUGGGGAUGGGCUCGCGGCCUAUCAGCUUGUUGGUGAGGUAAUGGCUCACCAAGGCGUCGACGGGUAGCCGGCCUGAGAGGGUGACCGGCCACACUGGGACUGAGACACGGCCCAGACUCCUACGGGAGGCAGCAGUGGGGAAUAUUGCACAAUGGGCGCAAGCCUGAUGCAGCAACGCCGCGUGAGGGAUGACGGCCUUCGGGUUGUAAACCUCUUUUAGCAGGGAAGAAGCGAAAGUGACGGUACCUGCAGAAAAAGCGCCGGCUAACUACGU
Molecule: ribosomal RNA, 467 nt
Filed under: uncultured bacterium
Lineage: Bacteria
Description: partial 16S ribosomal RNA
Rfam family: Bacterial small subunit ribosomal RNA
Source: RNAcentral